AUUGAACGCUGGCGGCAGGCCUAACACAUGCAAGUCGAACGGUAACAGAAAGCAGCUUGCUGCUUUGCUGACGAGUGGCGGACGGGUGAGUAAUGUCUGGGAAACUGCCUGACGGAGGGGGAUAACUACUGGAAACGGUAGCUAAUACCGCAUAACGUCGCAAGACCAAAGAGGGGGACCUUCGGGCCUCUUGCCAUCGGAUGUGCCCAGGUGGGAUUAGCUUGUUGGUGGGGUAACGGCUCACCAAGGCGACGAUCCCUAGCUGGUCUGAGAGGAUGACCAGCCACACUGGAACUGAGACACGGUCCAGACUCCUACGGGAGGCAGCAGUGGGGAAUAUUGCACAAAGGGCGCAAGCCUGAUGCAGCCAUGCCGCGUGUAUGAAGAAGGCCUUCGGGUUGUAAAGUACUUUCAGCGGGGAGGAAGGAAGUAAAGUUAAUACCUUUGCUCAUUGACGUUACCCGCAGAAGAAGCACCGGCUAACUCCGUG
Molecule: ribosomal RNA, 490 nt
Filed under: uncultured bacterium
Lineage: Bacteria
Description: partial 16S ribosomal RNA
Rfam family: Bacterial small subunit ribosomal RNA
Source: RNAcentral